GGCCAGAUAGCUCAGAUGGUAGAGCAGAGGACUGAAAAUCCUUGUGUCGCUGGUUCGAUUCCAGUUCUGGCCA
Molecule: transfer RNA, 73 nt
Filed under: Verrucomicrobiota bacterium
Lineage: Bacteria; Pseudomonadati; Verrucomicrobiota
Also listed under: 4 other names
Description: Verrucomicrobia bacterium (activated sludge metagenome) tRNA-Phe
Rfam family: tRNA
About the family: Transfer RNA (tRNA) molecules are approximately 80 nucleotides in length. Their secondary structure includes four short double-helical elements and three loops (D, anti-codon, and T loops).
Source: RNAcentral